UACGUAGGGGGCAAGCGUUGUCCGGAUUUAUUGGGCGUAAAGAGCGUGUAGGCGGCCAUUCAGGUCAGCUGUGAAACUCGAGGCUCAACCUCGAGACGUCGGUUGAAACCGUAUGGCUAGAGUCCGGAAGAGGAGAGUGGAAUUCCCGGUGUAGCGGUGAAAUGCGCAGAUAUCGGGAAGAACACCCGUGGCGAAGGCGGCUCUCUGGGACGGUACUGACGCUGAGACGCGAAAGCGUGGGGAGCGAACAGG
This 252-nucleotide ribosomal RNA is filed under the name uncultured bacterium. RNAcentral describes it as "partial 16S ribosomal RNA". It matches the Rfam family "Bacterial small subunit ribosomal RNA", at positions 524 to 776 of the family's 1533-position model. The record is from RNAcentral.